Molecule: ribosomal RNA, 465 nt
Filed under: uncultured bacterium
Lineage: Bacteria
Description: partial 16S ribosomal RNA
Rfam family: Bacterial small subunit ribosomal RNA
Source: RNAcentral
AUGAACGCUGGCGGCGUGCUUAACACAUGCAAGUCGCACGAUGAAGCCCAGCUUGCUGGGUGGAUUAGUGGUGAACGGGUGAGUAACACGUGAGUAACCUGCCCUUGACUCUGGGAUAAGCCUGGGAUACUGGGUCUAAUACUGGAUAUGACUUCUCAUCGCAUGGUGGGGGGUGGAAAGAUUUAUUGGUCUUGGAUGGACUCGCGGCCUAUCAGCUUGUUGGUGAGGUAAUGGCUCACCAAGGCGACGACGGGUAGCCGGCCUGAGAGGGUGACCGGCCACACUGGGACUGAGACACGGCCCAGACUCCUACGGGAGGCAGCAGUGGGGAAUAUUGCACAAUGGGCGCAAGCCUGAUGCAGCGACGCCGCGUGAGGGAUGACGGCCUUCGGGUUGUAAACCUCUUUCAGUAGGGAAGAAGCGAGAGUGACGGUACCUGCAGAAGAAGCGCCGGCUAACUACGUG